This 257-nucleotide ribosomal RNA is filed under the name uncultured Gardnerella sp. Its description in RNAcentral is "partial 16S ribosomal RNA". It matches the Rfam family "Bacterial small subunit ribosomal RNA", at positions 99 to 354 of the family's 1533-position model. Lineage: Bacteria; Bacillati; Actinomycetota; Actinomycetes; Bifidobacteriales; Bifidobacteriaceae. The record is from RNAcentral.
CGAACGGGUGAGUAAUGCGUGACCAACCUGCCCCAUGCUCCAGAAUAGCUCUUGGAAACGGGUGGUAAUGCUGGAUGCUCCAACUUGACGCAUGUCUUGUUGGGAAAGUGUUUAGUGGCAUGGGAUGGGGUCGCGUCCUAUCAGCUUGUAGGCGGGGUAAUGGCCCACCUAGGCUUCGACGGGUAGCCGGCCUGAGAGGGCGGACGGCCACAUUGGGGACUGAGAUACGGCCCAGACUCCUACGGGAGGCAGCAGGG